GAUGAACGCUAGCUACAGGCUUAACACAUGCAAGUCGAGGGGAAACGACAUCGAAAGCUUGCUUUUGAUGGGCGUCGACCGGCGCACGGGUGAGUAACGCGUAUCCAACCUGCCCACCACUUGGGGAUAACCUUGCGAAAGUAAGACUAAUACCCAAUGAUAUCUCUAGAAGACAUCUGAAAGAGAUUAAAGAUUUAUCGGUAAUGGAUGGGGAUGCGUAGGAUUAGUUUGUUGGCGGGGUAACGGCCCCCCAAGGGUACGAUCAGUAGGGGUUCUGAGAGGAAGGUCCCCCACAUUGGAACUGAGACACGGUCCAAACUCCUGCGGGAGGCAGCAGUGAGGAAUAUUGGUCAAUGGCGAGAGCCUGUACCAGCCAAGUAGCGUGCAGGAUGACGGCCCUAUGGGUUGUAAACUGCUUUUAUAAGGGAAUAAAGUGAGCCUCGUGAGGCUUUUUGCAUGUACCUUAUGAAUAAGGACCGGCUAAUUCCGUGCCAGCCGCCGCAGUAA
Molecule: ribosomal RNA, 507 nt
Filed under: uncultured bacterium
Lineage: Bacteria
Description: partial 16S ribosomal RNA
Rfam family: Bacterial small subunit ribosomal RNA
Source: RNAcentral